RNAcentral lists this small RNA (969 nucleotides) under Pan troglodytes (chimpanzee). Its description in RNAcentral is "processed transcript". Lineage: Eukaryota; Metazoa; Chordata; Mammalia; Primates; Hominidae. The record is from RNAcentral.
AUAUUCUUACAGAAUUCUAUGCUAUGAAUGCUUUCUUGCUAAAUCCUGAACCAGCUGCCUCUUCCAUCUCCUUUACCUGCUACAACUACAAAGAGCCUUCUCUUUAAUGCACGAAUAGCAGAAGAGGUGAACUGCCUUUUGGCUUGUAGGGAUGACAAUUUGGUUUCACAGCUUGUCCAUAGCCUCAACCAGGUAUCAACAGAUCACAUAGAGUUGAAAGAUAACCUUGGCAGUGAUGACCCAGAAGGUGACAUACCAGUCUUGUUGCAGGCCAUCCUGGCAAGGAGUCCUAAUGUUUUCAGGGAGAAAAGCAUGCAGAACAGAUAUGUACAAAGUGGAAUGAUGAUGUCUCAGUAUAAACUUUCUCAGAAUUCCAUGCACAGUAGUCCUGCAUCUUCCAAUUAUCAACAAACCACUAUCUCACAUAGCCCCUCCAGCCGGUUUGUGCCACCACAGACAAGCUCUGGGAACAGAUUUAUGCCACAGCAAAAUAGCCCAGUGCCUAGUCCAUAUGCCCCACAAAGCCCUGCAGGAUACAUGCCAUAUUCCCAUCCUUCAAGUUACACAACACAUCCACAGAUGCAACAAGCAUCGGUAUCAAGUCCCAUUGUUGCAGGUGGUUUGAGAAACAUACAUGAUAAUAAAGUUUCUGGUCCGUUGUCUGGCAAUUCAGCUAAUCAUCAUGCUGAUAAUCCUAGACAUGGUUCAAGUGAGGACUACCUACACAUGGUGCACAGGCUAAGUAGUGACGAUGGAGAUUCUUCAACAAUGAGGAAUGCUGCAUCUUUUCCCUUGAGAUCUCCACAGCCAGUAUGCUCCCCUGCUGGAAGUGAAGGAACUCCUAAAGGCUCAAGACCACCUUUAAUCCUACAAUCUCAGUCUCUACCUUGUUCAUCACCUCGAGAUGUUCCACCAGAUAUCUUGCUAGAUUCUCCAGAAAGAAAACAAAAGAAGCAGAAGAAAAUGAAA